RNAcentral lists this ribosomal RNA (233 nucleotides) under uncultured bacterium. RNAcentral's name for it is "partial 16S ribosomal RNA". It matches the Rfam family "Bacterial small subunit ribosomal RNA", at positions 102 to 334 of the family's 1533-position model. The record is from RNAcentral.
CGGCGACGGGUGAGUAAUGCCUAGGAAUCUGCCUAGUGUGGGGGAUAACGUUCGGAAACGGACGCUAAUACCGCAUACGUCCUACGGGAGAAAGCGGGGGACCUUCGGGCCUCGCGCCAUUAGAUGAGCCUAGGUCGGAUUAGCUAGUUGGUGAGAUAAUGGCUCACCAAGGCUACGAUCCGUAACUGGUCUGAGAGGAUGAUCAGUCACACUGGAACUGAGACACGGUCCAG